This 345-nucleotide long non-coding RNA is filed under the name Hordeum vulgare. RNAcentral's name for it is "long non-coding RNA (HVUL_LNC021427)". Lineage: Eukaryota; Viridiplantae; Streptophyta; Magnoliopsida; Poales; Poaceae. The record is from RNAcentral.
AAACUGGCCGGAAUAGGCCAAAACUGCGAGUUUUCAUGAUUUCCCCUUCACCGGACCCCGGGGUUCCCAAAACGUUCGGAUGGCUUUGGGACCCAAAAUCGGUGACUAAUAGCAUACAAAACUGGCCGGAAUAGGCCAAAACUGCGAGUUUUCACGAGUUCCCCGUAACUGGACCCCUUGGUACCCAAAACGUUCGGAUCGCAGCGGGACCCAAUAUGAGUGAGUAAUUCUUACAAAACUCGGCAGUAUAAGCCAAAACUGCGAGUUUUGACGAGUUCCCCGUAACCGGAUCCCGGGGUUCCCAAAACAUUCGUAUCGUAGCGGCAACCAAAAUCAGUGAGUAAU